Molecule: long non-coding RNA, 454 nt
Organism: Rosa rugosa (rugosa rose)
Lineage: Eukaryota; Viridiplantae; Streptophyta; Magnoliopsida; Rosales; Rosaceae
Exons: 2
Source: RefSeq, a predicted model, not a curated record
UGAAAGAAAGCGAUCCAUGACUCUUUGCCAUGCUCUCUGCCUCUCUCGUAGACUCCAUGACUGCAUCUCUCUCUUCUUCAUCCAAACCCACAAUUUCAGAGCGAGAGAGAUCUGAGCUGGGAUUGGGUUCUGAAGUGCUUAUUGGGAUUUGGGUGGAAACAAGGUAGUGAAGAUGAGUACAAAUGAUGAGUCCCAAUUUAGAAAAAGAGCGUGCUGAAUUGGAGGAUCUUACUGAAGACAUAUUUGAUUUGACAUUGCAAGAUAGAUCCGAAGAAGGAGAUAGCCGCAAUUAAGAUGAUUUUGACGUAUUUUAUUUAGUAAAUUAAAUAUCUAUUUUAUUCAGUACAUUAAAUAUGUAUUUUAUUUAGUACAUUAAAUAUGUAUUUCGAACCUAUUUCAAUCUUUGUAGCUACUAUUAUCAUUGAUGCUAUUUCAUCACUCAUUUGAAAAUCAA